This 357-nucleotide ribosomal RNA is filed under the name Gymnomeniidae sp. 2 FB-2018. Its description in RNAcentral is "partial 16S ribosomal RNA". Lineage: Eukaryota; Metazoa; Mollusca; Solenogastres; Pholidoskepia; Gymnomeniidae. The record is from RNAcentral.
GGAGUAAUUYUAAACGGCCGCGGAAUUUUAACCGUGCUAAGGUAGCAUAAUCAUUUGUCUUUUAAUUAAAGACUUGUAUGAAUGGUUUAAUGAAAUAAAGCUAUCUCUAAAAUAUUAAAUAAAAAUUAUUUUUAAAGUGAAAAAUCUUUAAUAAAAUAAAAAGACAAAAAGACCCUAUAGAGUUUAAUUUAUCUGUAUAGACACAUAUAUAUAUAAAUUUAGUUGGGGCAACUAAUGAAAAAAAAAAUUUCUUUUAAAAAAAAAAAAUAAAAUCAUUAAUUUAAUACUAUAAAACAAAUUACCUUAGGGGUAACAGCGUAAUUUUUUUUAAGAGCUCAAAUCGAARAAAAAAAUUAC